Long non-coding RNA from Diabrotica virgifera virgifera (western corn rootworm), 137 nucleotides. RefSeq lists it as uncharacterized. Lineage: Eukaryota; Metazoa; Arthropoda; Insecta; Coleoptera; Chrysomelidae. The record is from RefSeq and is a predicted model, not a curated record. The transcript has 2 exons.
GUCAUUAAGACCAAAAAAACGGAACUCAGACUCAAUAGAUCUGGCCCAACCCUAUGGAUAACUUAUAUGUACCCUAGGAAAAAAAAACACUAGGUGUCUAUGCAGCUAUAUAUAAGCCAUACACAACUUAUAAGUGC